AAAUUGAAGAGUUUGAUCAUGGCUCAGAUUGAACGCUGGCGGCAGGCCUAACACAUGCAAGUCGAACGGUAACAGGAAGCAGCUUGCUGCUUUGCUGACGAGUGGCGGACGGGUGAGUAAUGUCUGGGAAACUGCCUGAUGGAGGGGGAUAACUACUGGAAACGGUAGCUAAUACCGCAUAAUGUCGCAAGACCAAAGAGGGGGACCUUCGGGCCUCUUGCCAUCGGAUGUGCCCAGAUGGGAUUAGCUGGUAGGUGGGGUAACGGCUCACCUAGGCGACGAUCCCUAGCUGGUCUGAGAGGAUGACCAGCCACACUGGAACUGAGACACGGUCCAGACUCCUACGGGAGGCAGCAGUGGGGAAUAUUGCACAAUGGGCGCAAGCCUGAUGCAGCCAUGCCGCGUGUAUGAAGAAGGCCUUCGGGUUGUAAAGUACUUUCAGCGGGGAGGAAGGGAGUAAAGUUAAUACCUUUGCUCAUUGACGUUACCCGCAGAAGAAGCACCGGCUAACUCCGUGCCAGCAGCCGCGGUAAUACGGAGGGUGCAAGCGUUAAUCGGAAUUACUGGGCGUAAAGCGCACGCAGGCGGUUUGUUAAGUCAGAUGUGAAAUCCCCGGGCUCAACCUGGGAACUGCAUCUGAUACUGGCAAGCUUGAGUCUCGUAGAGGGGGGUAGAAUUCCAGGUGUAGCGGUGAAAUGCGUAGAGAUCUGGAGGAAUACCGGUGGCGAAGGCGGCCCCCUGGACGAAGACUGACGCUCAGGUGCGAAAGCGUGGGGAGCAAACAGGAUUAGAUACCCUGGUAGUCCACGCCGUAAACGAUGUCGACUUGGAGGUUGUGCCCUUGAGGCGUGGCUUCCGGAGCUAACGCGUUAAGUCGACCGCCUGGGGAGUACGGCCGCAAGGUUAAAACUCAAAUGAAUUGACGGGGGCCCGCACAAGCGGUGGAGCAUGUGGUUUAAUUCGAUGCAACGCGAAGAACCUUACCUGGUCUUGACAUCCACGGAAGUUUUCAGAGAUGAGAAUGUGCCUUCGGGAACCGUGAGACAGGUGCUGCAUGGCUGUCGUCAGCUCGUGUUGUGAAAUGUUGGGUUAAGUCCCGCAACGAGCGCAACCCUUAUCCUUUGUUGCCAGCGGUCCGGCCGGGAACUCAAAGGAGACUGCCAGUGAUAAACUGGAGGAAGGUGGGGAUGACGUCAAGUCAUCAUGGCCCUUACGACCAGGGCUACACACGUGCUACAAUGGCGCAUACAAAGAGAAGCGACCUCGCGAGAGCAAGCGGACCUCAUAAAGUGCGUCGUAGUCCGGAUUGGAGUCUGCAACUCGACUCCAUGAAGUCGGAAUCGCUAGUAAUCGUGGAUCAGAAUGCCACGGUGAAUACGUUCCCGGGCCUUGUACACACCGCCCGUCACACCAUGGGAGUGGGUUGCAAAAGAAGUAGGUAGCUUAACCUUCGGGAGGGCGCUUACCACUUUGUGAUUCAUGACUGGGGUGAAGUCGUAACAAGGUAACCGUAGGGGAACCUGCGGUUGGAUCACCUCCUUACCUUAAAGAA
This 1552-nucleotide ribosomal RNA is filed under the name Escherichia fergusonii. Its description in RNAcentral is "bacterial SSU rRNA". It matches the Rfam family "Bacterial small subunit ribosomal RNA". Lineage: Bacteria; Pseudomonadati; Pseudomonadota; Gammaproteobacteria; Enterobacterales; Enterobacteriaceae. The record is from RNAcentral.